UAGAAUCCCUGAUGGACCGAGGAGCC
Molecule: non-coding RNA, 26 nt
Filed under: Mus musculus (house mouse)
Lineage: Eukaryota; Metazoa; Chordata; Mammalia; Rodentia; Muridae
Also listed under: 1 other name
Source: RNAcentral